This 855-nucleotide long non-coding RNA is filed under the name Homo sapiens (human). RNAcentral's name for it is "non-protein coding lnc-SUGCT-9:2". The record is from RNAcentral. Lineage: Eukaryota; Metazoa; Chordata; Mammalia; Primates; Hominidae.
AUUGUGUCUGAGUUUCCUCACUGAAUGAAUCUCACAGAUGAUCUCUCAGAGCUGAGUUUCCUGGGUUUACAGAUCCUUAAGGAAAAUUCAUUUCUGCUCCUUCCUAUGGAAGACUUGCCUUUCCAAUAGCUGUGAGGUGCAACAUUAUUGCCAUGUGCACUAGAAGUCCUGCCAUCCAAGCUGGAAAAGGAAGAAACAUAGUUGGAGGAAAACCCCAAAUGGAUAAAGCAAUCUGCAGAGCCUAACUAUUUUACCGAUGCCCUAAUUUCUAACUUCCAGAAUAUACAUUUUUAUUUUUGAAAAGCAAACUUUGCUGCUUGAAUCUAGUUUGGAUCUAGGUGGUUUGGGGCAGCCUGCCAGGCUCACAGAUUAAGUGAAAGUCAUUACAAAAUGUUUUUACGCACAUGGGAAUCACAGGGAUUGUUUGGUGCUAGUUUGGCUCUCCACCAUUAAUUUUAAUUAUCUCAAAAUGCAAACAUGCUGAAAUUUCCAGCAGAUGACAUUAUUUUCUCCUUGACAUCAGACAUAAAAGGAAGAAAAAUAAACAUACGACAGUGACAACAUUAAGCUGCUCACAGUGAAGGACCCUGAGAGGGCAGAGCCAUGUGAUGGAAUGAGCCAUGAUCCCUGAGUCCUCACCUCAGGGAGAGAUGUGCAGAAGAGCCACCCAAGUGGUGAUGUGCUGGCUGCUUUUAGGCAACCAACGUGAUGUCACUGAACACAGUUUGGAAUGGAUGCACAUAAUCAGUUCUCAUGAUCCAGGAUGAACCAGCCCUAGCAUACCACUGCCCCUAACCCACAUAUAACUGUGUCAUCAUUUAAAAAUAAACAUAUUGGGUUAAGCCUUUGAGAUUU